UAGCUAUCUAUGCCACGUAUAAGCUAAAGCUGAUAAUUCUUCUCAGCUUUGUCAAUCAGUCUGAAUGGAGGGCAGAGUAAUCAGAUGAGGGUUUCGAAGGAGUUAUUUUUCCUAUCCAGAUCUUCAGUUUCUUCAGGGUUUCGAUCAAGAGAUGUGGAUUUUGAGCUCCAAAGCCUCAAAUAAUCACUUGCAUGAAGCCAUGAACGAGUAGAGGAUGCAAAGAGGAUCACAAAGAGAGUUAGAGAAGAAGGAAGAACACACAGAAUUUAAGUAGUUCGGCCAGAAGCCUACAUCCACUGUCAAAGGGAGGGUGUCACUUUCUUAUUGUUUUCUUUGAAGUUUUACAGAUUAUGAACUCUCUCACCCUUGCACUGAUUUUUUCUUCUCUUUUAUAUGCAGAGAUUUUUUUACAAUGAGAUAAGCCCAAGGUGAGCUGGUCGUUACAACAUUAAACUAGAAAAAUAACAGAUAAGUACUAAGGGUUACUUGUAAUUUCUUAUUUUUCUGUUACAUUUUAUUAUUGCAAUUUGUGGACUUAUCAAAUUUGUAGUUUGAGCUAAUUCAAAAGUUGAAAACUCUUACUCAAAAUUUUCCUACGUAUUUUCAUUAGUACUAACAUACAAAAAUCAAUCUAAAGAUUGUAUUGUAUUAUGUUGUAUUAUUCAGAGUGAAAAAUAUUACAUUGCAUCAGUAUCCAUUACAUCUUUUUCCCUGUUAUAUUAUUGUUCUUUUUUGCUUAAGAAAAAUUUCACUUGUAGCUUUUGCAUUCUUUAUUAACUAACUAUGGUCUUCUCUUUUUCUUAUUUUCUUAAUUUUGCAUCCUAAGCUGGUCGAAUGCAAAAUUAUAUUAUAGAGGUUUAUUUUCUUAAUUUCUCUUUAGUUUUUUUUUUCUUUUUUCUUUUCUUUUUUCUUUUUUUUUUUUUUUUUUUUUUUUUUUAUGUUCAUAAUAGAAUGUGUAAACAAGUAAAUGAAUUAAAACUUACCAUUUUACCUUGGUAAGGAAAAUCUUCUACAAAUCAUAGAGAGGGAGCUUCUUCUUGGCUGUCUAUCACAAUCAAAGCCCAAUAGAAUUUAGUUAGAAUAAAAUCAAAUUUUCCUUUACUUUUUUCAUUGUAGAACAAAAAUUUAAAAAUUUUAUUCUCCCUCGAUUAUGCUUUUUCUUUAAAACAAAGAGAAGAGUAGUGAAGGGAGGUGUGAGAUUGUACUAGAAGAGUUCUCUGUACUUAUCUAGUGGAGAUUGGCUCUCGAAAGCUUGAAUAAGAUCUUCCAUGGCUGCUUCGAACAGUGGAUGUAGGCUAUAAUGCUGAACCACUAUACAUCCUGGUAUUAAUCUUCUUCUCUGAACCUUUUCUUUCUUCUUUUACUUUAAUUUCUGGCUGCAUUUGAGUUAAGAUCUUCCUCUAUAUUCUUCAACUUCCUUUUCUCUCUUCGUCUAAUUUUUUGAUCUGCAUGUUGAAGGGAGUAAGAGAAGAAAAAGUGAUAAGAUCGUUUACUAAGUCUGAGAAAGUAAAGUAAACUGACCAAAUUUUCUUUUGUAUGUUGUGUUAAGAGCUGAAGUUUACAUGUGGUAGUCUAUUUUGAUUCUUUAUUUUAUUAUUUUUACUUUUACAGAAUGUAUUCUUCUGAUAUUGUCCAAUUUAUCUAUCAUGAGAAUAAAAGGGAUAAGGCUUUUGGUUUUAGCUCUGUUGUACAGAGAAAGACUUAUUGUAAAAUCCAAAUAUCUUUAUCCCAUCUUGUAUAAUUAUAUGAGGAGAUUGUGCCAUUCAUGUUUAACAAGUGCUCUAAAUUUUAACAAAAUGAGUAAAUGGUAGGCAUUGAAAAUAUGAAACUACAGAUAAGCAUAUUAAGAAAAAAGGGUCAUUGCUUUAAAAUUGGCAUGAUGUUUAGCCAUGUACAUAUUAUAUGCUAAAUAUGUGUAGUAUGCUUAAGUUUAUUCUAGUUCAACCAUUCAAAUAAAAGAGGAUAUACCAGGACCUAUUAACUAAUGUUAGUUAAAUAUGACAUUACAGGCCCUUGGGGUUGACUUGUCAAUUGUUCUCAAACUGAUAUAAAUAAGAAUAUUGACAUGAUUACUGCUAGGUCGAGGAAGCCCAAAUUCUUCCCUGUUGGUGUUGACUACAGGCACUUGGCUAGCACAAUGGGGUUAGAGUAUCUAGAAAAUUGACAUGGUUUCAACACCUAGGAGUCUAAUAAGAACAUGUAUGUCAGACAUUGCAUCCUGAAUUAACAAAAGCAAUUGAUGAAAUUGAAGUGGAGUUUCAUAAGCUUGGAAGACCUGUUGCAACUGAUCCUAGAGUAACUUUUUUUUUUUUCUUGUACAAUAACUCUAUCAAAUAUACUUCACUACUAACUAAAUUUGUCUACCUAACACAUAACAUGCUCAGUUAUAUAUUGUCCUACAGCUUUGUCAUGCAUUGGACUUGAUGUCCAGUUCUAUAAUUUCCUCUUGAAUGUUUUUUUUUUUUCUUGAUUUUGACUUCUUGGAAAUACUAGAUAGGUUUGUGUUGAUGAUUGUAAACUUUCCUUUGUUGGUUUGUUCUUAGUUCAAAAUGAGUCUUUUGAGCCAAGUAACAAAUUGUGUAUAAUGCUCUUUCUUCCAUUAGAAUUUUUUUUUGUGAAAAUUACCUUUCUUUUAUCGUUGUUGGGCUUGGAAGCUUUAGGUGUUACUUUGAAGUGUAUCUACUCCGUCUUAUGGACACUUAAGCUUAGUUAGUAAUAUGUGGAAGUUUGAUUUAUGGAAGAUUGUGAGUGUAUUAAGGUUGUUUGGGGGCAGUUAUAUCAAUGGAAGCUACUUGUUUCCUUGUGGUUAUAGUUAUUAUUAGAUUUUGCUUGUUUCUUUUCCACUCGUAAAUGUAUCUUUGAAUGUCUAUCAUGUGAAAGUUUAAUUUAUGGAAGGUUGUGAUUAUAUUAAGGUUGAUUGAUUACAGUUAUUGUUAAAUUUUUGAACACUUGUGAAAGUUUACUUUCUUGUUUUUAGUUGUUGCUCCUUCUCUCUUGACCACUUUUGUUUUGUUAAUUGAUGCAAUAAGCAAAGUUAUUGGUCCUAAUUGUGGUCAUAUUAGAGGACUGGGACUUGGGGUGACCAUGUCAAUAUUAUCUGCAUUCUCUCAAAGAGAGAGUUAUAUCCAACUUGAAGAAAAGUGUAAGAAGGAGGGAGACAUGACUAGAACGAGAUCUUUGAUAUCUCACAUACUCAAAGUUCAAUGCAAGUUGCCAGAUUGGUGUGGCACAGGAGACGUAGUUGUUGAAGGUUAAUGGUCUUCAAAUGAACCAGAAAUUAUUGUUCAUCAUGUUCUCCUUGGUCCACAAGCAGUGAGAGUUUGGGUAGACUUGCUAGUAAAACAUGAUGCAUUUUUAUGGAGGCCAAACUCAGAAAUGACAUAUAUUGAAAAUGCAAUCAAAAGUACAAUAGCAUUACCAUAUAACAAAGUUUUAAUUAGUUGAUGAAGGACUAUCAGUGCAUGCAUCUUCAAAUAUUUUGGUGGUCAACCACAAACACGACGAAGUUGGAGUUAUUUUGGAAAUUGAUAUUAACAAAGUUUGUAAUUUACGAAUUUAUAUUUUUUUUAUAUCCAAAUUUUUAGUACUCAUUACUAUAUCUCUUUUUUGUUGGGAUAUAUGAAUCUUGCAUUGAAUGCUUAUUUUGAAAA
Benincasa hispida (wax gourd) is the source of this 3650-nucleotide long non-coding RNA. RefSeq lists it as uncharacterized. The record is from RefSeq and is a predicted model, not a curated record. Lineage: Eukaryota; Viridiplantae; Streptophyta; Magnoliopsida; Cucurbitales; Cucurbitaceae.